Molecule: ribosomal RNA, 531 nt
Filed under: uncultured bacterium
Lineage: Bacteria
Also listed under: 2 other names
Description: bacterial SSU rRNA
Rfam family: Bacterial small subunit ribosomal RNA
Source: RNAcentral
AGCCUGAUCCAUGCCAUGUGCCGCGUGGAUGAAGAAGGCCCUAGGUUUGUAAAGUCCUUUCGAUGGUGAAGAUAUAUGACGGUAACCAUACAAGAAGCCCCGGGUUAAUUUCGUUGCCAGCAGCCGCGGUAAUACGAAAGGGGCUAGCGUUGUUCGGAAUUACUGGGCGUAAAGCGCACGUAGGCGGCAAUGUAAGUUGGGGGUGUAAAUCCCGGGGCUCAACCCCGGUAACUGCCUCCAAGAACUACAUAGCUAGAGGAUGUGAGAGGUAUAGUGGAAUUCCGAGUGUAGAGGUGAAAUUCGUAGAUAUUCGGAAGAACACCAGUGGCGAAGGCGACUGUCUGGCACAUUUGCUGGACGCUGAGGUGCGAAAGCGUGGGGAGCAAACAGGAUUAGAUACCCCUGGUAGUCCACGCCGUAAACGAUGAGGGCUAGUUGUCGGGCAGCAUGCUGUUCGGUGACGCAGCUAACGCAUUAAGCCCUCCGCCUGGGGAGUACGGUCGCAAGAUUAAAACUCAAAGGAAUUGACGG